AUGGAUACGUCUACAGGAACAUUCAGAGGAGCUAGCUCACAGCGCCGUCUAACGUCCGUAGAUGGGAGGCUAAGAGCCAACUUCGGAACAAAGCUAUGUAAAAGACUUAGGGGUCACGGAGCCAAAGAGACCCCACUGGAGCACACAGUUGACGCAGUUAUGUGCUCCACAGCUUGGAUCUGUAUUGGAAGCACCAUUGGACACUCCUCAGACAUCACAACCGGACUUCUCAGCUGUAGACACCUCUGUAUCAUUUUCAAACUUCUUGCUGUUAUGGUGAAUCUAUAAAGAACUUAGCAAGCUCAACACCCAAAGAACAAAUAAUCCAAUCAAGAAAUGGGCAGAAGACAUGAACAGACAUUUCUGCAAAGAAGACAUCCAGAUGGCCAACAGACACAUGAAAAAGUGCUCCAUAUCACUCGGCAUCAGGGAAAUACAAAUCAAAACCGCAAUGAGAUAUCACCUCACACCAGUCAGAAUGGCUAAAAUCAACAAAAUUACUUAUCUGUUUAAUGAAGGGUUUUUUUCCCUGAGAUUUUAUCCUUUUAUUUAAUGAGAAACAGAUUCCUUUAUCACUUCAUUUUGUCUCUCUCUGUUUCUAUGUAUUCAAUAAAAUUGCCACCUCUCUCAGGCUUUGAGUAACCUGAAUUGGUGGUAAGCCUUUUUGUACAAUGUAUCCUAGUUCUUUGUUAUAUAUUUAACCUUUAUGACUGUGAAAGCUGUGUACUUUACUUGUAAUAGCUGCCAAUUGUUAAGAGUGUGCAAGAACUGGGGUGUCUGGGUGGCUCAGUGGGUUAAGCCUCUGCCCUUGGCUAAAGUCAUGAUCUCAGGGUCCUGGAAUUGAGCCCCACAUCAGGCUCUCUGCUCAGCAGGGAGCCUGUUUCCCUCUCUCUCUCUGCCUGCCUCUCUGCCUACUUGUGAUCUCUCUCUGC
RNAcentral lists this long non-coding RNA (932 nucleotides) under Mustela putorius furo (domestic ferret). Its description in RNAcentral is "lncRNA (ENSMPUG00000023828.1)". Lineage: Eukaryota; Metazoa; Chordata; Mammalia; Carnivora; Mustelidae. The record is from RNAcentral.